RNAcentral lists this ribosomal RNA (392 nucleotides) under uncultured bacterium. Its description in RNAcentral is "partial 16S ribosomal RNA". It matches the Rfam family "Bacterial small subunit ribosomal RNA", at positions 523 to 918 of the family's 1533-position model. The record is from RNAcentral.
AUACGGAGGAUCCGAGCGUUAUCCGGAUUUAUUGGGUGUAAAGGGUGCGCAGGCGGCCAUUUAAGUCAGCGGUUAAAUCGUGGGGCUCAACCCCAUUCUGCCGUUGAUACUGGGUGGCUUGAUUGCGGUCGAGGUUGGCGGAAUUUGCCGUGUAGCGGUGGAAUGCAUAGAUAUGACGAAGAACACCGAUUGCGUAGGCAGCUGACCAGACCGCAAAUGACGCUCAUGCACGAAAGUGCGGGGAUCGAACAGGAUUAGAUACCCUGGUAGUCCGCACAGUAAACGAUGAAUACUUGUUUUCGGCGAUAUAAUGUCGGAGGCAAAGCGAAAGCGAUAAGUAUUCCACCUGGGGAGUACGCCGGCAACGGUGAAACUCAAAGGAAUUGACGGGG